This 928-nucleotide ribosomal RNA is filed under the name Nemopilema nomurai. Its description in RNAcentral is "small subunit ribosomal RNA". It matches the Rfam family "Bacterial small subunit ribosomal RNA". Lineage: Eukaryota; Metazoa; Cnidaria; Scyphozoa; Rhizostomeae; Rhizostomatidae. The record is from RNAcentral.
UAACCCCUUUGACUUUGGGGGUUUAUAAAUGCUAAUACUUUUUUAAUACAUGCUAGUUACAUGCACACAGGUGAGUAAAUCUGAAUUCACAGAAAGUUACCAGGAUAUUAAUUUAUUAGAUAAUUAAUACCUAAGACAACAAGAAGAUUCCACAUUUCUACUGAAACAAGGAGAAAUAAUCUACAGCAGUAUAGAAUAUUGUAUAAUUAGUUAUAACUAGAUACAGAAAAGUAUAAAGAACUGUCUAAUCAAGUGCCAGCAGACGCGGUUACACCUGAAGUUCAAGUUUUAUAAAUAAAAAAGGCUUAAAGAGUGUGUAAAUAAUAGUAAAGUAAAAGAAAGAAUUUAUAUAUAGAGAUUAAAUUCAAGGAAAUAAUAUAGAAUUCCACAAAUCUUUUCAUUCUUAGAAACAUUAAAUAAUAGAAAGCCAAUGGGAUUAGAUACCCCAGUAACCUAUUACCUAAAUUUAGAAUAAUUUAUAAAAUAUAUUUCCGCCUGAGUAUUAUAAUCGACUGAUCGAAAUUCAAAAAGUUUGGCUGUUCAUUUUCCACUUAGAGGAUUGUGUCACUUAAUUUGAUAGUCCGCAUAAAACCUUACCUUAUUUUGAUUUUUCAAGCGUUGCAUGGCCGUCUUCAGUUUGUAUUUGUAAUUAACAAACUAAACCUUCUAAGCUGAAGUCAGGUAUUAUGACCUUAAUAAUAAGGGGUAGAUGCAAUACAUUUUCAAAUAUAAAUAAAAAUUUGAAGCCAAUUGAAUCUGAAAAUUUCAUGAAGUAGAAUUUAAUAGUAAUCAAAGACAACAAGGCUUUGGUGAAUAGGUUCAAAUGUUAGUACAAAUUGCCCGUCACCUUUCAUAACUAAUAUAAAUUAAUAGAAAUGAAAGCAAGUCGUAACAUAGUGAGGGAAAGGGAACUUUUCCUUGAAUUUAU